UGGGGAAUAUUGCGCAAUGGGCGAAAGCCUGACGCAGCGACGCCGCGUGAGGGAUGAAGGUUUUCGGAUCGUAAACCUCUGUCAGAAGGGAAGAAACCGCACUGUGCUAAUCAGCAGUGCCUUGACGGUACCUUCAAAGGAAGCACCGGCUAACUCCGUGCCAGCAGCCGCGGUAAUACGGAGGGUGCAAGCGUUAAUCGGAAUUACUGGGCGUAAAGCGCACGUAGGCUGCUUUGUAAGUCAGGGGUGAAAUCCCACGGCUCAACCGUGGAACUGCCUUUGAUACUGCUUAGCUUGAAUCCGGGAGAGGGUGGCGGAAUUCCAGGUGUAGGAGUGAGAUCCGUAGAUAUAUGGAGGAACAUCAGUGGCGAGGGCGGCCACCUGGACCGGUAUUGACGCUGAGGUGCGAAAGCGUGGGGAGCAAACAGG
RNAcentral lists this ribosomal RNA (429 nucleotides) under Fusobacteriota bacterium. RNAcentral describes it as "Fusobacteria bacterium partial 16S ribosomal RNA". It matches the Rfam family "Bacterial small subunit ribosomal RNA", at positions 355 to 776 of the family's 1533-position model. Lineage: Bacteria; Fusobacteriati; Fusobacteriota. The record is from RNAcentral.